RNAcentral lists this ribosomal RNA (264 nucleotides) under Triticum aestivum (bread wheat). RNAcentral's name for it is "partial small subunit ribosomal RNA". The record is from RNAcentral. Lineage: Eukaryota; Viridiplantae; Streptophyta; Magnoliopsida; Poales; Poaceae.
AUGGCAAUUUUUGACCAGUUCUAUAGGCUGGCUGGUGGAAAUUUUGAGGAGCUCAACACGGCCAUGAUCGCCCUCAUACCAAAGAAGGAUGGGGCCAUGAGAAUUAAUGAGUUUAGGCCCAUCAGCCUCAUCCAUUCCAUUGCCAAGCUAGUCACUAAGGUGCUAUCCAUGCGGCUGGGUGCUGUCAUCGAUCGGAUCAUCUCGCCCACUCAAACGAAUUUUCAGAGGAAGAAAUGCAUCCAUGAUAGCUAUCUUUAUGUCUAG